AGAAAUUUAAGUUACUCAAACUAAAAGCCUUCAAAGCUCUCAACAGGGGCACUACCCCUAAUUUCUG
Molecule: transfer RNA, 67 nt
Filed under: Hemidactylus frenatus (common house gecko)
Lineage: Eukaryota; Metazoa; Chordata; Lepidosauria; Squamata; Gekkonidae
Description: tRNA-Trp
Source: RNAcentral